RNAcentral lists this ribosomal RNA (432 nucleotides) under uncultured bacterium. Its description in RNAcentral is "bacterial SSU rRNA". It matches the Rfam family "Bacterial small subunit ribosomal RNA", at positions 29 to 507 of the family's 1533-position model. The record is from RNAcentral.
AACGAACGCUGGCGGCAGGCUUAACACAUGCAAGUCGAACGCCCCGCAAGGGGAGGUGGCAGACGGGUGAGUAACACGUGGGAACGUGCCCUAAGGUUUGGAAUAUUCUCGGGAAACUGGGAGCAAUACCAAAUGUGACCGCAAGGUGAAAGAUUUAUCGCCUUAGGAUCGGCCCGCGUCAGAUUAGGUAGUUGGUGGGGUAAUGGCCUACCAAGCCGACGAUCUGUAGCUGGUCUGAGAGGACGACCAGCCACACUGGGACUGAGACACGGCCCAGACUCCUACGGGAGGCAGCAGUGGGGAAUCUUGGACAAUGGGCGCAAGCCUGAUCCAGCCAUGCCGCGUGAGUGAUGAAGGCCCUAGGGUUGUAAAACUCUUUCGUGGGGGACGAUAAUGACGGUACCCCAAGAAGAAGCUCCGGCUAACUUCGUG